Paramisgurnus dabryanus is the source of this 1243-nucleotide long non-coding RNA. RefSeq lists it as uncharacterized. Lineage: Eukaryota; Metazoa; Chordata; Actinopteri; Cypriniformes; Cobitidae. The record is from RefSeq and is a predicted model, not a curated record.
AAUUAUAAAAUAAUAAUAAAGUGAAAUAUAAUAAAAUAGUUAAGUGAAGAAAAGUGAAAAAGUAAGAAAGGAGGAAAGCUCUAGAAGGAAAACUGUUUUGCCCAAUCACAGCCCUUAUUUCAGUGACUGACUUUCCAAAGAGCCAAAGUUAGCAGCACUUUCAUAAGCCCCGCCCACAACCUUCAGCGGCGCUGCUAGACUGUCAGUUUGGGAGACAGAGCGGGAGAGUGAAAUGGAGCAGCUACACAGAGCGAUAUUCAGAGAUCCUCUGUUAUAAAGUUUUAAAAUAGAUCGCGAAUAACUUUGAAUGCAGUAAAUAGUCAUAUUUCUGAACGGAUUCGAUUACGUGAAGUUGUCAUUGGAGUGAGAGGACGACAAAGCGAAGAUUUGUGAACUGAAAGUGGAUGAAAUCCAACGGAGAAUUGGAGUGUUGCAAAUGAGCUUAUUUGAAUAUAUAUGAAGUUAUUGCCUUGGCUGGGUUUUUUUUGUCUAUGAUUUAUUCUACGUGAUUUCCUGUGAGAGAUUCCUGUUUGUGCCAUAUUUAAUCCUUCUGGAGAGGAAUCUGUGUAUCUGACGUGAUUAAAUAUGCACAAUGGCGAGCCACCAACGAACCUGUUUCCACUUUGAACUUUGCUAAAAUUCACCAACUGCUCAAACACCAAAGCAGGUUGUGGCCCGAUAUGAAAGAGUUCUUCGACACUUCAGCAGAGGAGGGACCAUGUCGGCUGCAUUCAAGCAGGUUGGGGUGGACCGGAACACCAUCAUAGUCAAUGCACCGAUUGCUGAAUUGUACAUCGCUGCUCCCUCCAAAUUUAAGGAACUCCUUAAAACCCACAGCAGUGAAGUUAAACUCAGUAUUUUUGCCACACAAUGUGCUGCUGUGAUUCAUGAGGAUCCAGCUAUAGAAGAUACUAUCAAAGCCUUUAAGGCUUCCGGUAAGCUGCUGCCUCUAAAAGGAAAGUGAACUGAUCUAGGAUCUGUAUUCAAGUUUUCACAAAAAGUUGUGUAAUGGACUGAAACACGUCCACAAUCUGCACUGCUGUUUUGAAGUGUUUAAAACGUUCUGUAAUGUUAAUACUGAGGUAGUUUUUACACGGUAAAAUAUUUUAUUAUAAUAUUUAUUUUAUUUGUUGUAUUUUAUAUGGUAUAUUUUUUUUUUUUUUAUGUUGCAUUAGCACUCCUGUAGCACUUUAAAAAAACAUUUUAUACCAUAUUGCGGAGGCUUAUGUUUACUGGAGGUGUA